This 1360-nucleotide ribosomal RNA is filed under the name Lactiplantibacillus plantarum. RNAcentral describes it as "Lactobacillus plantarum 16S ribosomal RNA". It matches the Rfam family "Bacterial small subunit ribosomal RNA", at positions 93 to 1440 of the family's 1533-position model. Lineage: Bacteria; Bacillati; Bacillota; Bacilli; Lactobacillales; Lactobacillaceae. The record is from RNAcentral.
GAGUGGCGAACUGGUGAGUAACACGUGGGAAACCUGCCCAGAAGCGGGGGAUAACACCUGGAAACAGAUGCUAAUACCGCAUAACAACUUGGACCGCAUGGUCCGAGUUUGAAAGAUGGCUUCGGCUAUCACUUUUGGAUGGUCCCGCGGCGUAUUAGCUAGAUGGUGAGGUAACGGCUCACCAUGGCAAUGAUACGUAGCCGACCUGAGAGGGUAAUCGGCCACAUUGGGACUGAGACACGGCCCAAACUCCUACGGGAGGCAGCAGUAGGGAAUCUUCCACAAUGGACGAAAGUCUGAUGGAGCAACGCCGCGUGAGUGAAGAAGGGUUUCGGCUCGUAAAACUCUGUUGUUAAAGAAGAACAUAUCUGAGAGUAACUGUUCAGGUAUUGACGGUAUUUAACCAGAAAGCCACGGCUAACUACGUGCCAGCAGCCGCGGUAAUACGUAGGUGGCAAGCGUUGUCCGGAUUUAUUGGGCGUAAAGCGAGCGCAGGCGGUUUUUUAAGUCUGAUGUGAAAGCCUUCGGCUCAACCGAAGAAGUGCAUCGGAAACUGGGAAACUUGARUGCAGAAGAGGACAGUGGAACUCCAUGUGUAGCGGUGAAAUGCGUAGAUAUAUGGAAGAACACCAGUGGCGAAGGCGGCUGUCUGGUCUGUAACUGACGCUGAGGCUCGAAAGUAUGGGUAGCAAACAGGAUUAGAUACCCUGGUAGUCCAUACCGUAAACGAUGAAUGCUAAGUGUUGGAGGGUUUCCGCCCUUCAGUGCUGCAGCUAACGCAUUAAGCAUUCCGCCUGGGGAGUACGGCCGCAAGGCUGAAACUCAAAGGAAUUGACGGGGGCCCGCACAAGCGGUGGAGCAUGUGGUUUAAUUCGAAGCUACGCGAAGAACCUUACCAGGUCUUGACAUACUAUGCAAAUCUAAGAGAUUAGACGUUCCCUUCGGGGACAUGGAUACAGGUGGUGCAUGGUUGUCGUCAGCUCGUGUCGUGAGAUGUUGGGUUAAGUCCCGCAACGAGCGCAACCCUUAUUAUCAGUUGCCAGCAUUAAGUUGGGCACUCUGGUGAGACUGCCGGUGACAAACCGGAGGAAGGUGGGGAUGACGUCAAAUCAUCAUGCCCCUUAUGACCUGGGCUACACACGUGCUACAAUGGAUGGUACAACGAGUUGCGAACUCGCGAGAGUAAGCUAAUCUCUUAAAGCCAUUCUCAGUUCGGAUUGUAGGCUGCAACUCGCCUACAUGAAGUCGGAAUCGCUAGUAAUCGCGGAUCAGCAUGCCGCGGUGAAUACGUUCCCGGGCCUUGUACACACCGCCCGUCACACCAUGAGAGUUUGUAACACCCAAAGUCGGUGGGGUAACC